RNAcentral lists this ribosomal RNA (466 nucleotides) under uncultured bacterium. RNAcentral's name for it is "partial 16S ribosomal RNA". It matches the Rfam family "Bacterial small subunit ribosomal RNA", at positions 28 to 507 of the family's 1533-position model. The record is from RNAcentral.
GAUGAACGCUGGCGGCGUGCUUAACACAUGCAAGUCGAACGGAAAGGCCCAAGCUUGCUUGGGUACUCGAGUGGCGAACGGGUGAGUAACACGUGGGUGAUCUGCCCUGCACUUCGGGAUAAGCCUGGGAAACUGGGUCUAAUACCGGAUAGGACCACAUUUUGGAUGGUGUGGUGGAAAGUUUUUCGGUGUGGGAUGAGCUCGCGGCCUAUCAGCUUGUUGGUGGGGUAAUGGCCUACCAAGGCGUCGACGGGUAGCCGGCCUGAGAGGGUGUACGGCCACAUUGGGACUGAGACACGGACCAGACUCCUACGGGAGGCAGCAGUGGGGAGUGUUGCACAAUGAGCGCAAGCCUGAUGCAGAGACGCCGCGUGGGGGAUGACGGCCUUCGGGUUGUAAACUCCUUUCGCUAGGGACGAAGCGUUAUGUGACGGUACCUGGAGAAGAAGCACCGGCUAACUACGUG